Oncorhynchus keta (chum salmon) is the source of this 427-nucleotide long non-coding RNA. RefSeq lists it as uncharacterized. The transcript has 3 exons. NCBI's taxonomy places the organism in Eukaryota, Metazoa, Chordata, Actinopteri, Salmoniformes, Salmonidae. The record is from RefSeq and is a predicted model, not a curated record.
CUCAGUGUUCUCCUAUCACAGCCAUUAAACUCUGUCAUUUAGGUUAGUAUUGUGGAGUAACUACAAUGUUGAUGAUCCAUCCUUAGUUUUCUCCUAUCACAGCCAUUAAACUCUGUCAUUUAGGUUAGUAUUGUGGAGUAACUACAAUGUUGUUGAUCCAUCCUCAGUGUUCUCCUAUCACAGCCAUUAAACUCUGUCAUUUAGGUUAGUAUUGUGGAGUAACUACAAUGUUGUUGAUCCAUCCUCAGUUUUCUCCUAUCACAGCCAUUAAACUCUGUCAUUUAGGUUAGUAUUGUGGAGUAACUACAAUGUUGUUGAUCCAUCCUCAGUUUUCUCCCAUCACAGCCAUUAAACUCUGUCAUUUAGGUUAGUAUUGUGGAGUAACUACAAUGUUGUUGAUCCAUCCUCAGUGUUCUCCCAUCACAGC